Molecule: long non-coding RNA, 1444 nt
Organism: Mauremys mutica (yellowpond turtle)
Lineage: Eukaryota; Metazoa; Chordata; Testudines; Geoemydidae
Exons: 6
Source: RefSeq, a predicted model, not a curated record
CACCCAGCAGGAUGACACUUGUUAACCGUCGUGGUCUAACUGUUUGAAUUGACGGCCCGAGCGCUCCGCGGCCGCUGAUUGGAGGAGCCAGGCGGCCACGUGACAGAGCUCGCGAUCAGGUGACUUAGCAGGAAGCAGCCCCCGGCGGCUCGGGAGAGGUGGAACAACAGAGAGCUUUUCUGUGCCCUUGAUCAUUCUGGUCACUCUUUGAACCCCUUCCAAAUCUGCAAUGGCCUUUAGAGAUGAGGAGACCAGCACUACACUCAGUAUUCCAGCUAAGGCAACAUCAUUGAUUUAUGUAAAGGUAAGACAAAACAUGAAGUCCUGGCUGUCUGUGAUCAUGUAAGCACCCGAGGCACUCUUUAUGACAGAAAGGUUGUUAUCCCUGGUUUCCUGACCAAAUUCUAAUGCUGGGGACAUUUCAGCUGUUUUCUUGAUUAAGAGCCAUCCUAUAAUGGAGGAUCUUCAUUUCUCUUUCAUUUGAAUCAACCGUUUGCAGUUUAUCUGCGUCUUUCUGGUAAUGGGGUGGCUAGAACAGAAUGGAAUAUACAAUGGCAACAAGGCAGAGAGUGUUGAGAUCUGAAGACGCAAGAGACAAUGAUCAGAUCUGGACAAGAUUUUUGCAAUCUCGAAUUGUGGAAAUGUUGGGAAGUCAACUGUCCUCAUGAGAUUUCUUCUUUGUUCAUCAAAAAUCUCACCAGAACGGCUGUUUGAGGAAAAUACAGCCCCAUCUGUUCAGGGUCAGAAGGAAGGCUCCAUCUGAUUUUAGACCCAGCCCAAGCUAUAAUGGAGAUUGACAUGGUAUGGGUUGAUGGAUCAGCAGACAGACAAGCAGAUUGGAACCAGCAUCAUAGCGGACUCAGAAUCUGAAUUGUCUGAAAUUUGAAAUGGUGCUGAUUUGAAAUUAUUGUUGCAGUUCAUACUUAGUACAAGGUCAAUCAGUAAUCAUGCUGCUUGUCAAGUUAUCUUUGGUGGCAAUAAUGACCCAACAGCCAACACUUCAUGCUAUGGCAAAAGUUGCUGCAUAUAACAGAUAUGUUGGCACAAAAUCAAAGAAAGUUUUUUCCUAUAGAUAUCCAUCUGAGUGAAUUCUCAUUAGAUUAAUGGACACUACCCUCAUUAGCCAGGCAUUCCAAUGGUGCUACAUACAAUUAUGAAAUAUUAAUCAUUACCAGCAGUAGUAACCCAGGAAUUGUGCCCCCUACCACAGCACCCCGUUUCCCUGACUUAGUGAGAACAGUUAGGUUUUAUUAGGAUGAAAAAUAUGAUUCACCUAUGAGGUCUGCAUUCCCCAUCAUAUAUCUUAAAAAACAGUCAAACAAAAACAGGCCUUGCUCCAAGUGCAAUGUUCAUUGAACUACAUAUUGGGUUGCUACUGACAGCACAAUAGAAGAAUCAUAACCUUAAGCUUAUUUAUAUAAAACUUUACAAAAGUCAGUACGUU